AUGAUGAUGUGCGGGCUCAUGUCGAGCCAACUGUCGAUACACUUAAGAUUGGUGCUCUCCAGGUUCCUGUUCGGGAUCGAUGGCAGACGAAUACCCUGGUGUACUCUCGGCGGCAACCACAAGUGCAGGGGGAGCAGCAAGGCAGGGAGGCAAGAGUGCAGGGGGAGCAGCAAGGCAGGGAGGCAAGAGUGCAGGGGGAGCAGCAAGGCAGUGAGGCAAGAGUGCAGGGGGAGCAGCAAGGCAGUGAGGCAAGCUCAUCUGACACAGUGGAGCUGCCCAUUGCGUUGCGAAAACCUACACGUGAAGCGGCAAGGAAGGGUGAGGUAG
This 327-nucleotide ribosomal RNA is filed under the name Triticum aestivum (bread wheat). RNAcentral's name for it is "partial small subunit ribosomal RNA". Lineage: Eukaryota; Viridiplantae; Streptophyta; Magnoliopsida; Poales; Poaceae. The record is from RNAcentral.